UGGGCGCAUAGCUCAGCUGGGAGAGCAUCUGCCUUACAAGCAGAGGGUCACAGGUUCGAGCCCUGUUGUGCCCACCAA
Molecule: transfer RNA, 78 nt
Filed under: Clostridium carboxidivorans P7
Lineage: Bacteria; Bacillati; Bacillota; Clostridia; Eubacteriales; Clostridiaceae
Description: tRNA-Val
Rfam family: tRNA
About the family: Transfer RNA (tRNA) molecules are approximately 80 nucleotides in length. Their secondary structure includes four short double-helical elements and three loops (D, anti-codon, and T loops).
Source: RNAcentral